AACGAACGCUGGCGGCAUGCCUAACACAUGCAAGUCGAACGGGAUCCUAGCUUGCUAGGUGAGAGUGGCGGACGGGUGAGUAACACGUGGGAAUCUGCCUUUUGGUUCGGGAUAACCGCGGGAAACUGCGGCUAAUACCGAAUGCCCUCGAGAGAGGAAAGAUUUAUCGCCAGAAGAGGAGCCCGCGUCCGAUUAGGUAGUUGGUGGGGUAAAAGGCCUACCAAGCCGACGAUCGGUAGCUGGUCUGAGAGGAUGAUCAGCCACACUGGGACUGAGAUACGGCCCAGACUCCUACGGGAGGCAGCAGUGGGGAAUAUUGGACAAUGGGGGCAACCCUGAUCCAAGCAAUGCCGCGUGAGUGAUGAAGGCCUUAGGGUUGUAAAGCUCUUUUGCCAAGGGAAGAUGAUGACUGUACCUGGAGAAUAAG
Molecule: ribosomal RNA, 427 nt
Filed under: uncultured bacterium
Lineage: Bacteria
Description: bacterial SSU rRNA
Rfam family: Bacterial small subunit ribosomal RNA
Source: RNAcentral